This is a long non-coding RNA of Capsicum annuum, 491 nucleotides long. RefSeq lists it as uncharacterized. Lineage: Eukaryota; Viridiplantae; Streptophyta; Magnoliopsida; Solanales; Solanaceae. The transcript is spliced from 2 exons. The record is from RefSeq and is a predicted model, not a curated record.
AUCCCAGGGGUGAAAGAAUCACCUUGCAUGGGUCAAUCCCAGUAUUACAGGGGGUAUCCCAGGGGUGAAAGGAAAGCCUAGCAUGGGUCGAUCCUGAUAUAGAUUUACCACUGAUCAGCUGGUCAUCUGUAUUACAUGCUGUGCACAGAUUAUACAAGCAAUAAGAGUAAAGUAACAUAAUUGUUAUAAGAUACAUGACUCCACAAUAUUCAUAAAGGUACAGAAGCUAAUAAACCUCCCCAGUAAGAGUACAGGAUAUCAACUGCAGUCACUGAGCUCCAGGUUGCUUCGGGGCUUUGAGUCUUAUCAUAUCUUUUUGUAUUGUAUAGUAUCUUAUCAUGAGGCGGGGCCUGUCCCGACCCUUGUAAGAUAAUGUUUCUUGACUAGAGGCUUUGUAGACUACGUAAAGUAUAGUAUGGUCAUGUAUCGUACCGUAGACAUUGUGGCUCCAAUGGCCUAGUCAUAUAAUAUCUUUUGGCUUGCUAGUCCUA